This 92-nucleotide ribosomal RNA is filed under the name uncultured bacterium. Its description in RNAcentral is "partial 16S ribosomal RNA". It matches the Rfam family "Bacterial small subunit ribosomal RNA", at positions 577 to 668 of the family's 1533-position model. The record is from RNAcentral.
GGUUUGUUAAGUCAGAUGUGAAAUCCCCGAGCUUAACUUGGGAACUGCAUUUGAAACUGGCAAGCUAGAGUCUUGUAGAGGGGGGUAGAAUU